UUUCUUUUUUUUUUGGAGGGGGAGAGAGAGCAAAGGAUGGGAACGGAAGGAAUGACAGGCGGCACCCAGAUCUGGGGACAGAGCCUUUCGAUGGGCAGCUGAAGUUCAGGCUUCGCUACUUAAAGCGAAACCGGGAGAAAUGCAAAUCGAGCUAGAAGAGGAGGGGAGAGAAGAAGAGAGAUUUCCUGUGGAGGAAAAAAGAAAGGAGCGAGGUGGCAACCGGAUAGUUCUACUCCUGUUUCCCGUUGAUAUACUGGCAUCAUUGCUGAUGGGAUACGACCCCCGACCCCCCAAAGUAGGCUGCUUUUUAAGAGGAGAUCAACAUGCAAAGUGAACAGAUUCCAGAACCAGCUAUCUGUGCAUCCCAUUUCAUAUUUUUAAUUUGGCUUUGUGAUGAGGCAAUUGAAACUCUUAGACAGGGUCUGGCUUCGCAGACUGAUGAGGACCUGAAAAUAAUGAAAGGCGACAUGAAAGCAGCGAGUCUGUUAGACGAUCAUCAAACCCAACAGAGUUUUCACAACUGGAGGUUAGCAAGUUCGAGAAGGAUGGCAGCUCUGCCAAAACUGGCCAAUGGAGACGUUUUGCUGAAUAUCCCUUCCCCACCAAAAUAAAGGACAAACUUCUGUGGAUGUGCGUGAACAAGGAGAGAAUGGGAAAGAAGAGGGCAACUUGAACUCAUUAUUUCAUAUGAGUUCUAAAUUAUGUUUGUUUCCUCAUUUGCUGUACGUGUAUUGUUAUAAGUGCCAUCCUAUCACAACAGAAGAAAUCAAUGAUUUUUUUUUAAAA
Molecule: long non-coding RNA, 786 nt
Organism: Lacerta agilis (Sand lizard)
Lineage: Eukaryota; Metazoa; Chordata; Lepidosauria; Squamata; Lacertidae
Exons: 2
Source: RefSeq, a predicted model, not a curated record